RNAcentral lists this ribosomal RNA (496 nucleotides) under uncultured bacterium. Its description in RNAcentral is "partial 16S ribosomal RNA". It matches the Rfam family "Bacterial small subunit ribosomal RNA", at positions 28 to 506 of the family's 1533-position model. The record is from RNAcentral.
GAUGAACGCUGGCGGCGUGCCUAAUACAUGCAAGUCGAGCGAACGGACGAGAAGCUUGCUUCUCUGAUGUUAGCGGCGGACGGGUGAGUAACACGUGGAUAACCUACCUAUAAGACUGGGAUAACUUCGGGAAACCGGAGCUAAUACCGGAUGAUAUUUUGAACCGCAUGGUUCAAAAGUGAAAGACGGUCUUGCUGUCACUUAUAGAUGGAUCCGCGCUGCAUUAGCUAGUUGGUAAGGUAACGGCUUACCAAGGCAACGAUGCAUAGCCGACCUGAGAGGGUGAUCGGCCACACUGGAACUGAGACACGGUCCAGACUCCUACGGGAGGCAGCAGUAGGGAAUCUUCCGCAAUGGGCGAAAGCCUGACGGAGCAACGCCGCGGGAGUGAUGAAGGUCUUCGGAUCGUAAAACUCUGUUAUUAGGGAAGAACAUAUGUGUAAGUAACUGUGCACAUCUUAACGGUACCUAAUCAGAAAGCCACGGCUAACUACGU